This 407-nucleotide ribosomal RNA is filed under the name uncultured bacterium. RNAcentral describes it as "partial 16S ribosomal RNA". It matches the Rfam family "Bacterial small subunit ribosomal RNA", at positions 29 to 526 of the family's 1533-position model. The record is from RNAcentral.
AUUGAACGCUGGCGGCAGGCCUAACACAUGCAAGUCGAGCGGAGCGGCGGACGGGUGAGUAAUGCCUAGGAAUCUGCCUGGUAGUGGGGGAUAACGUCCGGAAACGGGCGCUAAUACUGCAUACUAUCAGAUGAGCCUAGGUCGGAUUAGCCAGUUGGUGGGGUAAAGGACUACCAAGGCGACGAUCCGUAACUGGUCUGAGAGGAUGACCAGCCACACUGGAACGGAGACACGGUCCAGACUCCUACGGAAGGCGGCAGUGGGGAAUAGUGCACGAUGGGCGCGAGCCUGAUGCAGCCGUGCCGCGUGUAUGAAGAAGGCCUUCGGGUUGUAAAGUACUUUCAGCGGGGAGGCGUUACCCACAGAAGAAGCACCGGCUAACUCCGUGCCAGCAGCCGCGGUAAUUC